CCUACGGGAGGCAGCAGUGGGGAAUAUUGCACAAUGGGGGAAACCCUGAUGCAGCGACGCCGCGUGGGGGAAGAAUCGCCUACGCGCGUAAAGCCCUGUCAGCAGGGAAGAAAAUGACGGUACCUGAAGAAGAAGCCCCGGCUAACUACGUGCCAGCAGCCGCGGUAAUACGUCGGGGGCAAGCGUUAUCCGGAUUUACUGGGUGUAAAGGGGGCGCAGACGGCGAUUCAAGCCAGUAGUGAAAGCCCGGGGCCCAACCCCGGGACUGCUGUUGGAACUGCGUGGCUAGAGUGCAGGAGGGGCAGGCGGAAUUCGUGGUGUAGCGGUGAAAUGCGUAGAUAUCAGGAGGAACACCGGUGGCGAAGGCGGCCUGCUGGACUGCAACUGACGUUGAGGCCCGAAAGCGUGGGGAGCAAACAGGAUUAGAUACCCGGGCAGUC
This 440-nucleotide ribosomal RNA is filed under the name uncultured bacterium. RNAcentral describes it as "partial 16S ribosomal RNA". It matches the Rfam family "Bacterial small subunit ribosomal RNA", at positions 338 to 795 of the family's 1533-position model. The record is from RNAcentral.